GACGAACGCUGGCGGCGUGCUUAACACAUGCAAGUCGAACGGAAAGGCCCUGCUUUUGUGGGGUGCUCGAGUGGCGAACGGGUGAGUAACACGUGAGUAACCUGCCCUUGACUUUGGGAUAACUUCAGGAAACUGGGGCUAAUACCGGAUAGGAGCUCCUGCUGCAUGGUGGGGGUUGGAAAGUUUCGGCGGUUGGGGAUGGACUCGCGGCUUAUCAGCUUGUUGGUGGGGUAGUGGCUUACCAAGGCUUUGACGGGUAGCCGGCCUGAGAGGGUGACCGGCCACAUUGGGACUGAGAUACGGCGCAGAAUCCUACGGGAGGCAGCAGUGGGGAAUAUUGCACAAUGGGCGGAAGCCUGAUGCAGCAACGCCGCGUGCGGGAUGACGGCCUUCGGGUUGUAAACCGCUUUCGCCUGUGACGAAGCGGGAGUGACGGUAAUGGGUAAAGAAGCACCGGCUAACUACGUG
This 468-nucleotide ribosomal RNA is filed under the name uncultured bacterium. RNAcentral describes it as "partial 16S ribosomal RNA". It matches the Rfam family "Bacterial small subunit ribosomal RNA", at positions 28 to 507 of the family's 1533-position model. The record is from RNAcentral.